Molecule: ribosomal RNA, 497 nt
Filed under: uncultured bacterium
Lineage: Bacteria
Description: partial 16S ribosomal RNA
Rfam family: Bacterial small subunit ribosomal RNA
Source: RNAcentral
GACGAACGCUGGCGGCGUGCCUAAUACAUGCAAGUAGAACGCUGAAGAGAGGAGCUUGCUCUUCUUGGAUGAGUUGCGAACGGGUGAGUAACGCGUAGGUAACCUGCCUUGUAGCGGGGGAUAACUAUUGGAAACGAUAGCUAAUACCGCAUAACAAUGGAUGACACAUGUCAUUUAUUUGAAAGGGGCAAUUGCUCCACUACAAGAUGGACCUGCGUUGUAUUAGCUAGUAGGUGAGGUAACGGCUCACCUAGGCGACGAUACAUAGCCGACCUGAGAGGGUGAUCGGCCACACUGGGACUGAGACACGGCCCAGACUCCUACGGGAGGCAGCAGUAGGGAAUCUUCGGCAAUGGGGGCAACCCUGACCGAGCAACGCCGCGUGAGUGAAGAAGGUUUUCGGAUCGUAAAGCUCUGUUGUAAGUCAAGAACGAGUGUGAGAGUGGAAAGUUCACACUGCGACGGUAGCUUACCAGAAAGGGACGGCUAACUACGUG